This is a non-coding RNA of Salmo salar (Atlantic salmon), 54 nucleotides long. The record is from Rfam. NCBI's taxonomy places the organism in Eukaryota, Metazoa, Chordata, Actinopteri, Salmoniformes, Salmonidae.
UGCAUUCACUACUGUAAGUCGCUCUGGAUAAGAGUGUCCACUAAAUGACAAAAA